GCGCCCAGGCGCACCCAGAAACCCUUUGUGAACUUAUACCUUACUGUUGCCUCGGCGCAUGCCGGCCCCCCUGGGGGCCCCUCCUUCUGGAGGAGCAGGCACGCCGGCGGCCAACCUAACUCUUGUUUUUACACUGAAACUCUGAGAAUAAAACAUAAAUGAAUCAAAACUUUCAACAACGGAUCUCUUGGUUCUGGCAUCGAUGAAGAACGCAGCGAAAUGCGAUAAGUAAUGUGAAUUGCAGAAUUCAGUGAAUCAUCGAAUCUUUGAACGCACAUUGCGCCCUCUGGUAUUCCGGAGGGCAUGCCUGUUCGAGCGUCAUUUCAACCCUCAAGCCUGGCUUGGUGAUGGGGCACUGCCUGUAAAAAGGCAAGCCCUGAAAUUCAUUGGCGAGCUCGCCAGGACCCCCAGCGCACUAAUUAAACCCUCGCUUUGUAAGGACCGGGCGGGGCCCUGCCGGUAAACCCCCAACUUCCGAAAAUUUGACCUCGGAUCAAGUAGGAAUACCCACUGAACUUAAUCAUAUC
This 527-nucleotide ribosomal RNA is filed under the name Phomopsis cycadis. Its description in RNAcentral is "eukaryotic LSU rRNA". The stretch from base 168 to 321 matches the Rfam family "5.8S ribosomal RNA". Lineage: Eukaryota; Fungi; Ascomycota; Sordariomycetes; Diaporthales; Diaporthaceae. The record is from RNAcentral.